AUCACAGAAAUAAAUUACAUUUUAAAGGAUAUUAAAAUAGAAACCAUUAUUUUAUAUUAUAAUAACAUUUUGCAAGAUUACUGUAUUUUUCUGUAUUUUUGAUCAAAUAAAUGCAGCCUUGAUGAGCAGAAGAGACUUCUUUAAAAACAUCACAAGUCUCACUGAUCCAAACUCUUGAUUAGCGGUGUAUAUAUUUAAGUGCCAACUUGACGAGUGACGUGCGUGUCGGCUGCAGUUAGUAUAACUAAAUCAUCAUUUACUCAAACCUUUGUUCGGUUCCCAUCAUUCUUCAGAAUAUCUUCUUUUGUGUUGAACAGAAGAAAGAAACUCGCACGCGUCUGGAACAACACGAGGAGAGUAAACAAUGACAGAAUUUACUUUUUUGGGUAAACUGUCCCUUUAACUAAAUUUUCAGUAGCGUGACAGUAUUUCAAACUAAUUUUGCCAAAAAUAUCACUUGUCGUUCAGAUGAAGUGCGUGUGCAGAUCUGCUCUCUCAUAAUAGUGUCGAUUCGUUUCAGUGAAUUAAGGUCACCGCGAGGCAUUUUACGCCUUGAUUUUAUAACCAAACUUUUCAUUAACUGCUGCUGUUUAUAGCUAUUUUUCCUGGUAUUUAAAAUAACAUAGCUUACAUUUUAACCACACUACUGUUCACUAAUUCUUUUAUUCAUCAAGGCUGCGUUAAAUUGAUCAAAAGUGACAUUCACAAUGUCCAUUUCAAAAUAAAUGCUGAACUUUUAUUUUAUGAAUAUUAGAAUGAUUUCUGAAGAUCAUGUGACACUGAAGACUGGAGUAAUGAUGCUGAAAAUACAGCUGCGCAUCACAGAAAUAAAUUACAGUUUAACACAUAUUUACAGAGAAAACACUUAUUUUAAAUUAUAAUAAUAUUUCAGAAUUUUUACUGUAUUUUUAAUCAAAUAAAUGCAGCCUCGGUGAGCAGCAGAGACUUCACACCGAAUGCUAGUGUUUCUCUUCAUUCUGUUGCACUAAUGCUCAAACGCUCUCAGUGUCUAUCAGGAGAGUCACUGACUGUGAGCAUUGGUUUGUAAUGCAGAGCUCGUCUGCUGAAGGUCCCUGAUCACAGAUGCAUUCAGAAGCUCUGAAACAACAACAGAAAGAAACACCGAAACGGGACCAAAGCGAAUUAAAUGUGAGACUCCUGGCUCCUUUCGCCCCUCGAUGGCCUCCAGCGCGCUCUCACCUCAACAUCUCACACAGCACACACUAGAAAGUACAGAGUCCUUUAUUAAAACGCUUGUUUGCAGCAAUAAACCCUGUAGAAUGAAGCUACUAGAAGAUCAGCCGUGUGCUUCCCUUUGAGAAGGGCUUCAGCAGCCCAGCCCGUGAGAUUCAGUUCGUUUGGUUGAUCUUUUCCUUUAGUUUCAUAUGAUUCUUCUUCUGAUUGGUUUAGCGUUCGAUGACAGUCGUAGCUGCUGUGUAUGCCGUAGUCGUUUGAAAUUGUCAAGAUGUCCUAUUUUUCUACAUGACUGUGUUACUAAACUUUUGACUUGAGGUCUGAUUGUUUUAUAUACGAGUGUUUCACUUAUAGCAGUAUAUAGAUUAUAUAUAACUAUAUAUAAAUAUUAUUUUCUGUACAUGGUAUGAUUUGAGUCCAGGAGAGCUAGCUGAAGACAGAAUCCGCUCCGUAUGAUGAAUGUCUCCAGUCUCUCCGGUGCUAUCGAGGACUUCACUGCACUCCUGGAAGAUCUGUUUCGCUUCUGACGGCUGAUAACUUUCAUCACGAACACACACUUGACUCAGAAAAUGAGGGAUACUAGUGAUUAUGUUAUGCAUGUUAGUAAAAAUUGUUGCAGUUCGCUGCCACAACUUACAAUUUAGUGUUUGAAUAGCUUUCCUGGAUUUAACUUGAGAUGACUCGAAUUAAACUUAAUAUUUUAAAGGAAUAGUUCACCCUAAAAUGAGCAAGAGCUGGAAAUGUGGCCAUAUUUAGAUCAUCCGAGAUCAGGAUGAGUUUGUUUCUUCAUCAGAUUUGGAGAAAUUGCAUCACUUGUUCACUGCAAGUGAAUGGGUGCCGUCAGAAUGAGAGUCCAAACAGCUGAUAAAAACAUCAC
Cyprinus carpio carpio is the source of this 2071-nucleotide long non-coding RNA. The record is from Ensembl. NCBI's taxonomy places the organism in Eukaryota, Metazoa, Chordata, Actinopteri, Cypriniformes, Cyprinidae.